Molecule: long non-coding RNA, 935 nt
Organism: Triticum dicoccoides
Lineage: Eukaryota; Viridiplantae; Streptophyta; Magnoliopsida; Poales; Poaceae
Exons: 3
Source: RefSeq, a predicted model, not a curated record
GAGGAGGAGGUGCUGUCCUGGAGCCAGCGACGGCGGCUGCAGCUUGACGAUGCCGGCGUCAACAGCUUGCUUCAGGGGCUGCAGGCCGUGAACGGCGUUGUGCUUGCGCGCGAGACCCGUGUCUGAUUUGGAAAGAAUCAAUCCGGUGAAGAAGAAGGCCAAUGCAACUGCUCUCUAGCUAGGCACUGGAGUAUCUGCACCCCCAAUGGAACGCUACGAAUUGCUGCUGGUACUGAACAUGGGGACGGCGCAUGGCACUACAAAGCACUACAAAGCAGUGCCACAUGGGUUCCGGCGCAUGGGGACGGCAAGAUCUGCAUCGUCCACAUCAUCGACACGCAGUUUGUUAGCUUGGAUGGAUUUGUGGCCUCGCCUCAUCAGGUCCGGGAGGACAAAAGUGCUUGGCGAGUAGAUACAUGCAGCACGGGACCAAGAGAAAAAAAAUUAAACUGAACGCUCAAGGGUCGUCAAAUUCAGCUUUAGAACAAAAGUCGCGGGAUAAGCUCUUUCAGUCUAUGGAUGGACAGCUGAAUGCGCAAGAUAGAUGAUGUUCGGAAUUUGGAUCAUGAGCUUCCAACAAUGACCGUGCGAGAUGCUGGACAUGGCGUACAAGGCCGAUGUUGAUGGUGGCACAUAUACUCAUCAGCUGCCUACUACACGUCAGGGAGGAGGAAGCUAGGGAACCCAUAUUUGAAACACGAGAGCAAGGAAAGGAUUAAUGGUUACUGAUGAAACCAUUAAUCAAUAGUUGUGAUGAUUAGUUGUUCCUGAAUCACAAUUAAUCCUUGUAUAACUCCAUGUGUUGGUGUUUUGAGUGGGUGACCUGUGACCUAUUCUAUCCAAAAGAAUAAUGGUGUGCAGUUUCAGUCGUGAGUGGAGGCGAUAUGGCCACGGACUAUAUUUAUCCUAUCAAACCGUCGGUAACUGAAAACUAA